This 168-nucleotide long non-coding RNA is filed under the name Sus scrofa (pig). RNAcentral's name for it is "lncRNA (ENSSSCG00030015819.1, ENSSSCG00055006634.1, ENSSSCG00065027970.1)". The record is from RNAcentral. Lineage: Eukaryota; Metazoa; Chordata; Mammalia; Artiodactyla; Suidae.
UCUCAUCUUGGCUUUUCUUUCUAGCUGUGGGAUAUAUCAUGAUCUGCUUCCAGACUUGCAGUGGGGAAGAAGAUGCUUUUUCCAAGGUUCUUCUCCAUUGAACUAAGCAGAGAAGUGAUUCACUUGCUAGCACCUGAUGACUUCUGGGAGGAAAAGAAAAUUAUUUAA